Molecule: ribosomal RNA, 333 nt
Filed under: Triticum aestivum (bread wheat)
Lineage: Eukaryota; Viridiplantae; Streptophyta; Magnoliopsida; Poales; Poaceae
Description: partial small subunit ribosomal RNA
Source: RNAcentral
AUGGCCUUCCAUGAUGGCAAUGUAAAUCUUGAAAGCAUCAACACAUCAUUAAUUACUUUGAUCCCCAAGAAAGAAGUGCCACUUUCACCAAAUGACUUCAGGCCAAUUUCUUUGCUCAAUGGAGUGCUUAAAAUCAUUACAAAACUGUUGACAAAUAGACUGCAAAGAGUUAUCCUACAAAUGGUACACAUUAAUCAAUAUGGCUUCCUAAAAGACGGAGUGAUUCAAGAUUGUCUUGGAUGGGCAUAUGAGUACAUCCACCAAUGUCACAAGUCCAGGGAGGACAUGCUAGUAAUUAAACUGUACUUUGAAAAAAGCUUUUGCCACAAUUGA